RNAcentral lists this ribosomal RNA (468 nucleotides) under uncultured bacterium. RNAcentral describes it as "partial 16S ribosomal RNA". It matches the Rfam family "Bacterial small subunit ribosomal RNA", at positions 28 to 507 of the family's 1533-position model. The record is from RNAcentral.
GACGAACGCUGGCGGCGUGCUUAACACAUGCAAGCCGAACGGAAAGACCCUGCUUUUGUGGGGUUCUCGAGUGGCGAACGGGUGAGUAACACGUGAGUAUCCUGCCCUUGACUUUGGGAUAACUUCAGGAAACUGGGGCUCAUACCGGAUAUGAGCUCCUGCUGCAUGGUGGGGGUUGGAAAGUUUCGGCGGUUGGGGAUGUACUCGCGGCUUAUCAGCUUGUUGGUGGGGUAGUGGCUUACCAAGGCUUUGACGGGUAGCCGGCCUGAGAGGGUGACCGGCCACAUUGGGACUGAGAGACGGCACAGACUCCGAAGGGAGGCAGAAGUGGGGAAUAUUGCACAAUGGGCGGAAGCCUGAUGCAGCAACGCCGCGGGCGGGAUGACGGCCUUCGGGUUGUAAACCGAUUUCGCCUGUGACGAAGCGUGAGUGAAGGUAAUGGGUAAAGAAGCACAGGCUAACUAAGUG